GCCUGAGUGGCUCAGUCGGUUAAGCGUCUGACUUUAGCUCAGGUCAUGAUCUCACGGUUUGUGAGUUCGAGCCCCGCGUCAGGCU
Molecule: transfer RNA, 85 nt
Filed under: Felis catus (domestic cat)
Lineage: Eukaryota; Metazoa; Chordata; Mammalia; Carnivora; Felidae
Rfam family: tRNA
About the family: Transfer RNA (tRNA) molecules are approximately 80 nucleotides in length.
Source: Rfam by way of RNAcentral